Molecule: ribosomal RNA, 502 nt
Filed under: uncultured bacterium
Lineage: Bacteria
Description: partial 16S ribosomal RNA
Rfam family: Bacterial small subunit ribosomal RNA
Source: RNAcentral
ACUCAAAGGAAUAGACGGGGGUCCGCACAAGCGGUGGAACAUGUGGUUUAAUUCGAUACUACGCGAGGAACCUUACCUGGGUUUGACAUGUUUUUGACAGUCGUGGAAACACGAUCUUCCAAGUUUACUUGGACAAUUGCACAGGUGCUGCAUGGUUGUCGUCAGCUCGUGUCGUGAGAUGUUUGGUUAAGUCCUCUAACGAGCGCAACUCUUGCUGUCAGUUGCUAUCACUUCGGUGAGCACUCUGGCGGGACUGCCCGGGAAACCGGGAGGAAGGUGGGAAUGACGUCAAAUCAUCAUGGUCCUUAUACCCAGGGCUACACACGUGUUACAAUGGCCGGUACAGAGGGUUGCUAUCCCGUAAGGGUGUGCUAAUCUCAUAAAGCCGGUCUAAGUUCGGAUUGAGGUCUGCAACUCGACCUCAUGAAGUUGAAAUCGCUAGUAAUCGCAUAUCAGAUACGAUGCGGUGAAUACGUUCUCGGACCUUGCACACACCGCCCGU